Uranotaenia lowii is the source of this 882-nucleotide long non-coding RNA. RefSeq lists it as uncharacterized. The transcript has 4 exons. Lineage: Eukaryota; Metazoa; Arthropoda; Insecta; Diptera; Culicidae. The record is from RefSeq and is a predicted model, not a curated record.
AUAAGAUUUCAGACCAAACAACUGAUAUUUCCUUUAAAAAGUUUUUAAAAAAUACAAAACUGUUUACUAUUUAUAUCGCUGCCUAAACAUAACUUAACUGUUGAGUUAAAUUUUGUUUCGUGUAAUAAUCGGGUUUUAAGAUUUUGUUUUAAUUGUUCAUCUUCGAUUUAUCCAAGCAAUCCAAAAUUGCGAAUUGUAUCAAAAAGAUUGUGGCAAACUUCAUAAACAAACAAGAUCGUCGCCCGGGACGAUGCAUAUUAGACCCGUGCUGGAUGAGGAAAAAGAUUUCACCCUUAUUUACGUACCUACUGGCUUUUCAUCGAACACGAUCCUCACGGCAGCCUCGGAAGGCGGAUAACUGUGCCAUGUGGAAAUUAUUGUUCAAAGGAAAAGUACCAAACGAGUUUGAAUUAUUUGCUACGAGAUGAACGCUAAGGGUCGUAAAAAAAAACAAUCGGUCUAAAUAUGAAAAAAAAAAAAACCCAGCGAAUCCCUGAGUGGCUCCAGUCACUGUAUAAAAGGGAAGCCGAAGUAUCCCGUUUCUGGCAAAUUAAAGAAUCACACGGAAAAAAAUUAACGGAACUCAUACGAUCUGGUUGUAAAUGAUAAGACUAGGAAUUCACCCUGAAGAUUGAUUAAUAAUAAUAACAACCGAGUCUAAUAAGCGAGCCAUAAGGGUUAGUGAAACAUGAACUGGAAAAAAUGAAAAAAAAAAUGAUAUAAUUGAGGCAUGUUCGGGAAAAGGAAGAAGUCUUGGAGCUUGGAAAUGCACUUUUCCAAAGUGGAAACCAGCGUUCUCAUUAUGGAUCUAGUUUCCGAUUCUAAUCACGCUCUGGUUACAGAUUAAUUCAUUGUGCUUCGCGUUCGAUAUAGAACUUGAAU